Molecule: long non-coding RNA, 1589 nt
Organism: Oncorhynchus tshawytscha (Chinook salmon)
Lineage: Eukaryota; Metazoa; Chordata; Actinopteri; Salmoniformes; Salmonidae
Source: Ensembl
GUGUGGACACUAGGUGUAAUGUAACAGUGUGGACACUAGGUGUAAUGUAACAGUGUGGACACCAGGUGUAAUGUAACAGUGUGGACACCAGGUGUAAUGUAACAGUGUGGAUGCCAGGUGUAAUGUAACAGUGUGGAUGCCAGGUGUAAUGUAACAGUGUGGACGCCAGGUGUAAUGUAACAUUGUGGACACUAGGUGUAAUGUAACAGUGUGGAUGCCAGGUGUAAUGUAACAGUGUGGACGCCAGGUGUAAUGUAACAGUGUGGAUGCCAGGUGUAAUGUAACAGUGUGGACGCCAGGUGUAAUGUAACAUUGUGGAUGCCAGGUGUAAUGUAAGUGUGGAUGCCAGGUGUAAUGUAACAUUGUGGAUGCCAGGUGUAAUGUAAGUGUGGAUGCCAGGUGUAAUGUAAGUGUGGAUGCCAGGUGUAAUGUAAGUGUGGAUGCCAGGUGUAAUGUAACAGUGUGGACGCUAGGUGUAGCAAUUGUCUCCCAUAUGGAAAUAACUCUGAACCAUGCCAAUGUUCUGCCAACCAUGUCUUGUCAAUAUCUCCUAGUUGUCUUAUGUGGGAUUUUCUUCAUCACUUUAGGGGACCUCUAUCUAACCACAGAGUUACCGCCCAGGGGUUCAUCGUUUGUUUUAUUCCUCUGCUAACAAGCAGGAUGUACACAUGGAAGGAGAAUAACUUUCACCCUAAUUGAUGUCACUAAUAAUAUCACACUCCAAAACAUGUAUGCUAACGAAAGCAAUGAAACGCUUCCUGGACAUGUCACGGUGGAAUACCUAAUCACUCACUCUAAACACUCCGAAUUACCAUCAGGAAUGACCAUCUGAAACAUAACUGAUCAAUUCAUCCAUAAUCAUGUGAUAAUCCAUAAACGUGCACCAUAUGGAUGACCCCUUUAACCAGACAGUUAUGUUUGAAAAACAUCUGUUUCAGGAAUGCCAGCUCAUCAAAAUAUGCAUGUUCAGCACAUCAUUCAUGACAUCAUCUGGAUGAUUACAUCUACAUAUAUCUUCAUUCUAAAGGACACAUAUCGAAACAAAUUGAAGUCUCUCCAUUUUAUGAUUACCUUCACACAAUCAUACACACAUUCUGUGUUUCACUUCUCAUCUGACAUAAUCUCUAUGCUCACUCUGAUCAGCACUGUGUAAUCUGUGUAAUCCAUCUCUGUUUAACUCACAUGCCUCCUCCUUCAUGCAGUACCCUGUGUGUGUCUGUAGGGGGUGCUGGCUCUGGUCCUGGUAGUGCUCUGCCUUAUGGGGGCCAGCCUGUGGUCCCUGCUGGGCUGUGGCCUGAUGGUGGGAAGUUGGGCGAGUACGGCCCAGAGCCCUAUGGGUUUGCAUAGCCUAUGGGGCUGGGGCAUGAUACUGGCCUGGGUAAAUACACUCUAAAGAGAGGGGAGGGUGAACAAAGGAAGAACAAGAGAAAAUAGAGGCAGAAAAAGGACUGAAAAAACUGAGUGGUCAGGAAAAAUAAAGAGGUAGAGAAAGGGUGAAAAGUAGAGAUGGAGAGAAGAGAAAGAUUAGACAAAGAAAAAAGCAAGUCCGUGAUGAACACUGAAGCAGCAACAGAGGGACUCAAAGGUCA